CGCCCGUCGCUCCUACCGAUUGGGUGUGCUGGUGAAGUGUUCGGAUCGACGGUUGUCGGUGGUUUCCGCUGACUUCCGCUGAGAAGUUCAUUAAACCCUCCCACCUAGAGGAAGGAGAAGUCGUAACAAGGUUUCC
RNAcentral lists this ribosomal RNA (136 nucleotides) under uncultured Trebouxiophyceae. Its description in RNAcentral is "partial small subunit ribosomal RNA". It matches the Rfam family "Eukaryotic small subunit ribosomal RNA", at positions 1670 to 1804 of the family's 1831-position model. Lineage: Eukaryota; Viridiplantae; Chlorophyta; Trebouxiophyceae. The record is from RNAcentral.